GAUCGGGAUAACACCUGGAAACAGAUGCUAAUACCGGAUAACAACAGAUGAUGCCUAUCAACUGUUUAAAAGAUGGUUCUGCUAUCACUCUUGGAUGGACCUGCGGUGCAUUAGCUAGUUGGUAGGGUAACGGCCUACCAAGGCGAUGAUGCAUAGCCGAGUUGAGAGACUGAUCGGCCACAUUGGGACUGAGACACGGCCCAAACUCCUACGGGAGGCAGCAGC
This 225-nucleotide ribosomal RNA is filed under the name uncultured Lactobacillus sp. RNAcentral's name for it is "partial 16S ribosomal RNA". It matches the Rfam family "Bacterial small subunit ribosomal RNA", at positions 136 to 355 of the family's 1533-position model. The record is from RNAcentral. Lineage: Bacteria; Bacillati; Bacillota; Bacilli; Lactobacillales; Lactobacillaceae.